RNAcentral lists this small RNA (29 nucleotides) under Bombyx mori (domestic silkworm). RNAcentral's name for it is "ovarian small RNA-3882". The record is from RNAcentral. Lineage: Eukaryota; Metazoa; Arthropoda; Insecta; Lepidoptera; Bombycidae.
UGUCCUUACCGGGGUCCAUCGGGACCGGU